UGAACGCUGGCGGCGUGCCUAAUACAUGCAAGUCGAGCGAACAGAUGAGGAGCUUGCUCCUCUGACGUUAGCGGCGGACGGGUGAGUAACACGUGGAUAACCUACCUAUAAGACUGGGAUAACUUCGGGAAACCGGAGCUAAUACCGGAUAAUAUAUUGAACCGCAUGGUUCAAUAGUGAAAGACGGUUUUGCUGUCACUUAUAGAUGGAUCCGCGCCGCAUUAGCUAGUUGGUAAGGUAACGGCUUACCAAGGCGACGAUGCGUAGCCGACCUGAGAGGGUGAUCGGCCACACUGGAACUGAGACACGGUCCAGACUCCUACGGGAGGCAGCAGUAGGGAAUCUUCCGCAAUGGGCGAAAGCCUGACGGAGCAACGCCGCGUGAGUGAUGAAGGUCUUCGGAUCGUAAAACUCUGUUAUUAGGGAAGAACAAAUGUGUAAGUAACUAUGCACGUCUUGACGGUACCUAAUCAGAAAGCCACGGCUAACUACGUG
Molecule: ribosomal RNA, 495 nt
Filed under: uncultured bacterium
Lineage: Bacteria
Description: partial 16S ribosomal RNA
Rfam family: Bacterial small subunit ribosomal RNA
Source: RNAcentral